GAUGAACGCUGGCGGCGUGCCUAAUACAUGCAAGUCGAGCGGACGGACGAGAAGCUUGUUUUUCGGUCGUUAGCGGCGGACGGGAGAGUAACACGUGUAUAACCUACCUAUAAGUCUGAGAUAACUUCGGGAAACCGGCGCUAAUCCCGGAUAAUCUCUUGAACCGCAUGGUGCAAUAGUGAAAGACGGCCUUGCUGUCAGUAAUAGAUGGAUCUGCGCUGCAUUAGCUAGUUGGUAAGUUAACGGCUUAUCAAGGCAAGUAUGCAUAGGCGACCUCAGAGGGGGGUCGGCCACACUGGAACUGAGACGCGGUCCCGACUCCUACGGGACGCCGCAGUAGGGAAUGGUCCGCAGUGGGGGAAAGCCUGACAGAGCGGCGCCACGUGAGAGGUGGAAGUCUUCCGAGCGUAAAGCUCUGUUAUUAGGGAAAAACAUAUUUGUAAGUAGCUGUGCACAUCUUGACGGUACCUAGUCAAAAAGCCCCGGCUAACUACGUG
RNAcentral lists this ribosomal RNA (497 nucleotides) under uncultured bacterium. RNAcentral describes it as "partial 16S ribosomal RNA". It matches the Rfam family "Bacterial small subunit ribosomal RNA", at positions 28 to 507 of the family's 1533-position model. The record is from RNAcentral.